Non-coding RNA from Zea mays, 74 nucleotides. The record is from Rfam. Lineage: Eukaryota; Viridiplantae; Streptophyta; Magnoliopsida; Poales; Poaceae.
AGGGAUGUAGCGCAGCUUGGUAGCGCGUUUGUUUUGGGUACAAAAUGUAACGGGUUCAAAUCCAGUCAUCCCUA